RNAcentral lists this small nuclear RNA (168 nucleotides) under Carlito syrichta (Philippine tarsier). RNAcentral's name for it is "U1 spliceosomal RNA (ENSTSYG00000023204.2)". It matches the Rfam family "U1 spliceosomal RNA". From Rfam's summary of the family: U1 is a small nuclear RNA (snRNA) component of the spliceosome (involved in pre-mRNA splicing). Lineage: Eukaryota; Metazoa; Chordata; Mammalia; Primates; Tarsiidae. The record is from Rfam by way of RNAcentral.
AUACUUACCUGGCAGGGGAGAUACCACAAUCACGAAGGUGGUUUUCCCAGGGCCAGACACUCCACUUAUCCACUGCAGUGUGGAUGUGCUCACCCCUGAGAUUUCCCCAAAUGUGGGAAACUCAACUGCAUAAUUUGUGGUGGGGGAGACCGCGUUCGUGCUCUCCUC